UGAUGAAACUGACAAAGGCGAGAGCGCGCAGCAGCCCACAGCAGCCGAGUUCGCGCCGCCGGUAGGUGCUGCCAUGCCAGGGGGCGGGAUCGUGGAGCGCCUCGCAGAACCGCACGAAAGCAAAAACAAAGCCAUCUCUCCGGAGCAGAAAUAGAACAGACGUGGCCGGGGAAAGCCAAAUAUUUGUGAGAUGAUGUGAACAAAGGGGGAAAAGUCAAUCCAGGGAAGUUUGAGUUUCUGGUUGGAGGCUUCAGCGGCUCUGAUCGCUGGAUACUUUAAGAGAACAUCCUUUGCCCCCGCUCUCCCUCUCUCCCCGAAGAAAAAUAAAUCCUUGGCAAAAUGAGACUUGACGGCAUGAAAAGAAGGUCUCCAGACUGUCCCAGCUGGCGCGGGCGGGGCCGGGGCCGAGGUGCCGCUUGGUGACACUGCAGCCGCGGCUCAGCACUGUCACCCAGAAAGGCCCGCCGACGUCUGUAUGCAGGGAACGUGGCUCUUAGCAGAGCCUGGACAGGCGCAGGGCCAAGGAAGUCUUUGUUUUUGUUUCUUUCUCUAGCCCUUCCUGCCAAUACAUCAGGGAUAUAACUCCUUGGUGUUUCUGCCUUACAAUCGCUCCUUAUACCCCACCCAGAUCCUCAGCACUGCAGCUCCCACUGCCACUGCCCGCUCCUGCCGUCCUGGUGAACACAAUCGAGCAAGGCAGUGAAGCAAACAUCAUUAGGUGGCUGGACUCAGACACAUCACGCUCCAGUUUGGGUUCCAAGGUGCUUCUCUCUGGAUUUUCACCUGCCUUGCCAAAAAUGAUUGAUUACGCUGGGCCAACUGGGUGUCCGGCAAUACCCAACAAAUGACUUUGGCCCCUAACAGCAGGUCUUGGCCAGACAGAAAUCAAUAUUUCACCAUUAAAAUCUAUCAAAGAAGAGUUAAGGCACCAUCUGUCCCUGCCGCCUCUCUAUGGUGUGUGAACAUUAAAUCCGACACUUGUACUACAUGGGUAAUCAAUAUAUAGUGGUUCACAGAUCAUUUGUGGUUCCCUUUUAGCAGUGAUGGAUGUCUGGAAUCGUUGUGAUUCAUUUUGUCAGACCAUUAAACAAGAUUCUGUCCAGUU
Molecule: long non-coding RNA, 1105 nt
Filed under: Homo sapiens (human)
Lineage: Eukaryota; Metazoa; Chordata; Mammalia; Primates; Hominidae
Description: HSALNT0305368
Source: RNAcentral